UUUAACCUUUUGUUUUAAUACAACUGCAUACAUUUAUUUUAUAUACAGAGUUAAUUUUAAUACGUUAUUUUUCCGUGAGACGGAACAUAAACUAGCUUUAGUGAGUCCCAUUAAUAAACUGGCAGGCUGUACAUUAUCUUGUGACGUUAUACUUUUAGUGAAAUCUGAAAUUCCAAAACAUCAGAACUGCAUCAUUUAUUGCACGUAUAUGGCUUUAUUUUUUGAUCGGAUUAAUUCAAUAUGAUAAAUAUGGGCGCGAAGAUCUACACUGCUUCGGUGCUUUUUUUACAUACGGGACAUUUCAGUCGUCGUGUUGGUCGAUUGAAAGAUAUGAAAAACGCGCAUGAAGCACACAAUUAUGGUCUUUUCUCUGUUCAAUACAAGAUAAAGCCACAGGUAAGACUUACAAACCUGAUUAUGUUUGUUUUAAUCUAUUAAAUGACGGCCAUUCUAAUUUAGAAAUGAGUUUCAUAGUGCAUUGUUGUCGCUACCAUUUAAAAAAAGUUACAUAUUUCUAACGUGUUGCAAAUUCUCCUCCUGAACAAUAACGUUGAAUAUUCGUUUGUUUUAGUAUAUGUGGUAACUUAAGUGUGUAAAAGUAAAGUUGUUAAAAUGUUAUAGAGGAUUCUGAAGCAGCGCGCUUAAAUGUUAAAGCGGUUUAAAACAUUCUGCAUUUUUUAAACUUAUUUUAUAAUGGUAAGUGAAAACUGACGAUUUCAUAUAUGGCCGUAGGCUGUCUUUAAUCGAAUCAUUUCGUGUAGAAACUGUGGCGCGAAGAUCAACGCUGGGUCAGUGCUAUUUCACAACCGGGAGAUUUCAUUCGUCAUGCUGUUGGCCAUUUGAAACACCACGCUUGAAGCAUACAGUUAACGUUGUUCUUUUCUCAAGUCAGAGCAAGAUAAUGCCACAGCAAACCAUCGACAGAAUGCUGUUUAAAGUGCAGUACCAACAUCACAGAAAGUACAUAAACCUUACUGGAUCGUCUUAUGAUUCUGUAAUCAAGGAUGUUAAGCAGAAGUUUGACAUCUGACGAGCAGACGAGACUGGAACAGAAGUAGAUGAUGUUUUUGCUGACAUUAUUGACCAAAAGCCUGACACUUUUGAUGGUAGUUGAUUCUGUAGCAGACUCUCCUGCACACAGAAGCUGUCAUCUUCAUUCAGUUGCAUCAUCGUCAGACACAUAGCCAUCAGACAGCGAUGGUCCUUUCUUCCCACCUAAAAGAGCUCAUUCUGAUGACCAUUUGCAAGAAGCUAAGGAGCUUGUGAAAAGUGUUUUAGAAAAGCCUGCUGGGAUAUUUCAGAACACUGCCACAGCAGUCAAGGAGACUGGGACAGUGAUAUGUCUUCCCUGUUAUUGCUUGUGUAUCCUGCCACCACCUUCUAUUGGAAAUAAGAAGUCUGUCAAGAAUAGUGUGUGUGAAGCUUUGGAUCGUGUAGUAAGAUUUCACAAGUCCUCUUGCGGUUUUGAAGUCCUUGGAUCAACACAGCCCUACAUCUUGACAGUUGGCACUUCAAAAAGUAACAUCCUUGACUACUACAUUGCUGCGGAAGAGCGGCUCAUUCCCUGCAUUACUAAGUCCUCUCUCUCA
This is a long non-coding RNA of Carassius auratus (goldfish), 1589 nucleotides long. RefSeq lists it as uncharacterized. The record is from RefSeq and is a predicted model, not a curated record. The transcript is spliced from 7 exons. NCBI's taxonomy places the organism in Eukaryota, Metazoa, Chordata, Actinopteri, Cypriniformes, Cyprinidae.